CAGCCGCCGCGGUAAUACGUAGGUGGCAAGCGUUGUCCGGAAUUAUUGGGCGUAAAGCGCGCGCAGGCGGAUAGGUCAGUCUGUCUUAAAAGUUCGGGGCUUAACCCCGUGAUGGGAUGGAAACUGCCAAUCUAGAGUAUCGGAGAGGAAAGUGGAAUUCCUAGUGUAGCGGUGAAAUGCGUAGAUAUUAGGAAGAACACCAGUGGCGAAGGCGACUUUCUGGACGAAAACUGACGCUGAGGCGCGAAAGCCAGGGGAGCGAACGGGAUUAGAUACCCGAGUAGUCCCUGUCUCUUAUACA
RNAcentral lists this ribosomal RNA (301 nucleotides) under uncultured bacterium. Its description in RNAcentral is "partial 16S ribosomal RNA". It matches the Rfam family "Bacterial small subunit ribosomal RNA", at positions 509 to 809 of the family's 1533-position model. The record is from RNAcentral.